ACUCAAAGGAAUAGACGGGGACCCGCACAAGCGGUGGAGCGUGUUGUUUAAUUCGAUGGUAAGCGAAGAACCUUACCAGGGUUUGACAUCUCGGGAAGGUCGCCGAAAGGCGACUGUGCCUUCGGGAACCCGAUGACAGGUGUUGCAUGGCCGUCGUCAGCUCGUGUCGUGAGAUGUUUGGUUAAGUCCAUCAACGAGCGCAACCCUUGUAGUUAGUUGAAUUUCUCUAGCUAGACUGCCUCGGUAACGGGGAGGAAGGAGGGGAUGAUGUCAGGUCUGUAUUACCCUUACAUCCUGGGCUACAAACACGCUACAAUGGCCGGUACAAAGGGCAGCUAAGUCGCAAGGCGGAGCAAAUCCCAUCAAAGCCGGUCUCAGUUCGGAUCGGGGGCUGAAACUCGCCCCCGUGAAGCUGGAAUCGCUAGUAACGGUAAGUCAGCACAUUACCGUGAAUACGUUCCCGGGUCUUGCACACACCGCCCGU
This 484-nucleotide ribosomal RNA is filed under the name uncultured bacterium. RNAcentral describes it as "partial 16S ribosomal RNA". It matches the Rfam family "Bacterial small subunit ribosomal RNA", at positions 899 to 1397 of the family's 1533-position model. The record is from RNAcentral.